CACGUAGGGCGCAAGCGUUGUCCGGAAUUAUUGGGCGUAAAGAGCUCGUAGGUGGUUUGUUACGUCCGCUGUGAAAUCCUAGGGCUUAACCCUGGGCUUGCAGUGGGUACGGGCAGACUAGAGUGCGGUAGGGGUGACUGGAAUUCCUGGUGUAGCGGUGGAAUGCGCAGAUAUCAGGAGGAACACCGAUGGCGAAGGCAGGUCACUGGGCCGCAACUGACGCUGAGGAGCGAAAGCAUGGGGAGCGAACAGG
RNAcentral lists this ribosomal RNA (253 nucleotides) under uncultured bacterium. Its description in RNAcentral is "partial 16S ribosomal RNA". It matches the Rfam family "Bacterial small subunit ribosomal RNA", at positions 524 to 776 of the family's 1533-position model. The record is from RNAcentral.